RNAcentral lists this ribosomal RNA (460 nucleotides) under uncultured bacterium. Its description in RNAcentral is "partial 16S ribosomal RNA". It matches the Rfam family "Bacterial small subunit ribosomal RNA", at positions 338 to 795 of the family's 1533-position model. The record is from RNAcentral.
CCUACGGGAGGCAGCAGUGAGGAAUAUUGGUCAAUGGUCGGAAGGCUGAACCAGCCAUGCCGCGUGAAGGUCAGUGCCCUAUGGGCGUUAAACUUCUUUUGUGCGGGAGCAAUAAUGGUCACGUGUGGCCAGACGAGAGUACCGUACGAAUAAGCAUCGGCUAACUCCGUGCCAGCAGCCGCGGUAAUACGGGGGAUGCAAGCGUUAUCCGGAUUUAUUGGGUUUAAAGGGUGCGUAGGCUGUGAGGUAAGUCAGCGGUGAAAUGCCCCCGCUCAACGGGGUGAAGUGCCAUUGAUACUGCCUGGCUGGAAUGCGGAUGCCGUGGGAGGAAUGUGUGGUGUAGCGGUGAAAUGCAUAGAUAUCACACAGAACACCGAUUGCGAAGGCAUCUCACGAAUCCGCGAUUGACGCUGAUGCACGAAAGCGUGGGUAUCAAACAGGAUUAGAUACCCGAGUAGUC